This 104-nucleotide microRNA precursor is filed under the name Haemonchus contortus (barber pole worm). RNAcentral's name for it is "microRNA hco-mir-277 precursor". Its record names the gene hco-mir-277. The record is from miRBase by way of RNAcentral. Lineage: Eukaryota; Metazoa; Nematoda; Chromadorea; Rhabditida; Trichostrongylidae.
AUGUGGCAGUUCUGCCGGUCUGCAUACCAGUGGCAGCAUUUCCACGCGAUUUGGUUGAAAAUGCACCUACCUGGUAUGCAGACCAUGUCUGCGUCUCGGCCGUU